GAUGAACGCUAGCGAUAGGCCUAACACAUGCAAGUCGAGGGGCAUCACAUGAAGUAGCAAUACGGAUGGUGGCGACCGGCGCACGGGUGAGUAACACGUAUGCAACCUGCCUUCAACAAGGGGAUAACCCGUUGAAAGACGGACUAAUACCCUAUAACACAGGGGUCCCGCAUGGGAAUAUUUGUUAAAGGACAACCGGUUGAAGAUGGGCAUGCGUUCCAUUAGCUAGUUGGCGGGGUAACGGCCCACCAAGGCAACGAUGGAUAGGGGAACUGAGAGGUUUAUCCCCCACACUGGUACUGAGACACGGACCAGACUCCUACGGGAGGCAGCAGUGAGGAAUAUUGGUCAAUGGACGCAAGUCUGAACCAGCCACGUCGCGUGAAGGAAGACGGCCCUACGGGUUGUAAACUUCUUUUAUACGGGAAUAAAGUGCCCCACGCGUGGGGUUUUGCAUGUACCGUAUGAAUAAGGAUCGGCUAACUCCGUGCCAGCAACCGCGGUAAAUCACACUACA
This 517-nucleotide ribosomal RNA is filed under the name uncultured bacterium. RNAcentral's name for it is "bacterial SSU rRNA". It matches the Rfam family "Bacterial small subunit ribosomal RNA", at positions 28 to 536 of the family's 1533-position model. The record is from RNAcentral.